RNAcentral lists this long non-coding RNA (224 nucleotides) under Olea europaea (common olive). RNAcentral describes it as "long non-coding RNA (OEUR_LNC015466)". Lineage: Eukaryota; Viridiplantae; Streptophyta; Magnoliopsida; Lamiales; Oleaceae. The record is from RNAcentral.
AGAACUCAUACAAGAGUUCAUGAAUCUCACUUUCUCUCAACUACUACACAAGAUCAAAGAGAGAAAUCAAAAAUUACAGAGAGAAAAUCAAAUCACUCGAAGGAAGUUGCUAGAAUAACAAAAACGAAAGAAGACCCAAACCCUAGAGAUAUUAUUCGUUUUUAUACGAAAGAAGCUCAAAAAUUCAAUCCAAUGGCCCUUAAUUUGCCACGCGUCGAAGAUCC